ACGCUGGCGGCGUGCCUAACACAUGCAAGUCAACUUGACUGAAGGAGCAAUCUGACAGUAGAGUGGCGCAAGGGUGCGUAACGCGUAAGUAACUUGCCCCAAGGUAAGGAAUAACGUCGAGAAAUCGGCGCUAAUACCUCAUAAUGCAGCGGAUCCGCAUGGAUAUGUUGCUAAAGGUUUACCGCCUUGGGAUAGGCUUGCGUCUGAUUAGCUAGUUGGUGUGGUAACGGCACACCAAGGCUACGAUCAGUAACUGGUCUGAGAGGAUGAUCAGUCACACUGGAACUGAGACACGGUCCAGACUCCUACGGGAGGCAGCAGUGAGGAAUAUUGGGCAAUGCUCGAAAGAGUGACCCAGCAACGCCGCGUGGAGGAUGAAGGUAUUCUAUAUCGUAAACUCCUGUGAGAGCAGACGAAAGACAGAUUAUUAAUCUGGAUGACUGUAUGCUCAGAGGAAGCCCCGGCUAACUACGUG
Molecule: ribosomal RNA, 475 nt
Filed under: uncultured bacterium
Lineage: Bacteria
Description: bacterial SSU rRNA
Rfam family: Bacterial small subunit ribosomal RNA
Source: RNAcentral